GAUUCUUACUACCACGUGUCGACGCCUACUUGAGCAAUGAAAAAAAAAAAAAAAAUUGCGCGUUUUUUUCUUUCUUUCUUCUUCCUCUCUCUCUCGAUGCCUCCUCUCGUUAUCUCCGAUGGAGAAAACGGAAAACACCAUAGCCGCCAUUAUUUUACUCUAGCUCUUCCUCUUCCUACUCUGAUUGAUGCUCCAUAGUUUUAUGUCUGAUUUUAAAGAAAACAAAAAUUGGGAUAAGAGAAACCGAAUCGAUUGGGGGUAAGAUAUUCAAUUUCUUGUUUUAUUGAAUUGAUUUUCAGUCGAUGUAUGUCGUACAGAUCUGCUGUUGUGAACUAUUUCUAAUUAUUCACAACUGAUGCAUUUCAUAAUUGAUUUUCAAUUGAAAUUAUCUGCUGUUGUGAAUUUUUUAGGGGUUUCUCUGUAAAUUUCCUAGGAUUUUUUUGCUCGAUGUUGUUGUGGAUUGAUUGAUGCAUAAAUCUGGUUUAUUUGUUCGAUUCUUGUAGUAUUAUUUUUGUUUUGACUUUUUGGAUUAUUAACCCCACAAAUGAUAUCAAAUUUGAUCUUAAAGGUGAGAAGGUGAGAAUCCAAUGUAUGAGAGCACAAGAGCUGAGCUUGGUCUGGUUGUUCUGUAUUUGAACAAAACGGAGACGAGAGACAAACUUUAUGGUGCUUGCAGUGGCAGUUUACAAUCACUACAAGAAGAUAUAUCACGAAUCAGCACAUAAACGGUUCGUUUAUGUCCCAAGAUAAGGCAAACAAUGCUCUUCUCAUUCACAUUAGGAAGACGAUCCCACUCACAAACAGAAGGGGAAAACCUCAGUUCUGUCCAUUUUGCCUUUCAAAUUCUGUUUUGCUUGUAAAACAAGUUCUUUUUUUUUUAAAUGUAAUGCUAAGAAACUUACCAUUGGAGGAAUAAAUUUUACAAAAUCUUUAAAAAGUUUUUAGUAAGUAAAUUUGUAUUUUUGGUGA
Molecule: non-coding RNA, 969 nt
Organism: Camelina sativa (false flax)
Lineage: Eukaryota; Viridiplantae; Streptophyta; Magnoliopsida; Brassicales; Brassicaceae
Source: RefSeq, a predicted model, not a curated record